This 1730-nucleotide long non-coding RNA is filed under the name Meleagris gallopavo (turkey). Its description in RNAcentral is "lncRNA (ENSMGAG00000002086.3)". The record is from RNAcentral. Lineage: Eukaryota; Metazoa; Chordata; Aves; Galliformes; Phasianidae.
GCCUUGGACCAGGUGGGAUAGGAGCAGGGGUUCUUGCUGGGAAGGCUGGGUACCCCACUGGGACAGGUGUUGGAGCACAGGCGGCAGCAGCAAAAGCGGCAGCUAAAUAUGGAGCCGGUGUCCUGCCUGGGGCUGGCGGCAUCCCAGGGGUGGGCGGCGUGGUGCCCGGUGUCGGUGUUGUUCCAGGAGCUGGAGUGGGAGGCCCGGCAGCGGCAGCAGCUGCAGCGAAGGCAGCAGCGAAAGCAGGAGCCUAUGGUGCAGGGGUGCUGCCCGGGGUCGGAGGUGUCCCAGGUCUUGUGCCUGGUGUCGGCGGUGUGCCUGGCUUGGUUCCUGGUGUCGGAGGUGUCCCUGGGGUGGCAGGAGUUGGGACACCAGCAGGAGCAGCAGCAGCAGCCAAGGCAGCUAAGUAUGGAGCUGGCGUUCCCGGUGUUGGCGUUCCCGGCGUUGGCGUUCCUGGCGUUGGCAUUGGAGGCGUGCCUGGUGUGCCUGGUGUGCCUGGUGUACCUGGUGUGCCUGGUGUACCUGGUGUGCCUGGUGUUCCUGGUGUGGCUGGUGUUCCUGGUGUGGUACCUGGCGUUGGAGGUGAGCAGAUGGGCUGGCAUGAGGGGACAACAUGGUGCCAGCUUCGCCAGUUCCCCUGACACCCUCUCUUCUGUUCCUGCAGUGGGUGGCCCAGCAGCUGCUGCUGCAGCAAAGGCUGCAGCAAAAGCAGCCGCAUUUGGAGCAGGGCGUGUGCCUGGGGUCGGCGUGCCUGGCGGUGUGCCUGGGGUCGGUGUACCAGGAGUCGGUGUUCCUGGAGUCGGAGUACCUGGAAUUGGUGUACCUGGAGUUGGAGUACCUGGGGUCGGUGUUCCCGGAGUUGGCGUACCCGGUCUGGUGCCUGGAGCUGGCCCAGCUGCUGCUGCUAAAGCAGCUGCCAAAGCUGCCAAGUACGCAGGAGCAGGUGGCUUGGCACCUGGCGUGGGAGGUCUGGCACCUGGCAUAGGAGGUCUGGCACCUGGUGUGGGAGGCCUUGCUCCUGGUGUAGGUGGCCUUGCUCCUGGUGUAGGUGGCCUGGCCCCUGGCGUUGGAGGUGUUCCAGGUGUUGGAGGUCCAGCAGCAGCCGCAAAAGCAGCAGCUAAGGCAGCCAAAUACGGUGCUGGUGUUGGAGGGGUGCCGGGUGCUGUGCCCGGUGCUCCUGGUGUGCCAGGAGUGACACCUGGCAUCGGUGGUGUGCCCGGCUUAGUGCCAGGCGUAGGGGUGCCCGGUGCCGGCGUUCUCCCCGGAGCAGGCAUCCCUCAGGUCGGGGUGCAGCCUGGUGCUAAGCCUCCCAAAUUCGGUGUGCCCGGGGCUGGGGUCCCAGGGGUCGGUGGCAUCCCAGGUGGCCUCGGAGUUGGUGGCCUUGGAGUUGGUGGCCUCGGUGCUGGGGCUGGAGUUCCCGGUUUUGGUGUGUCACCGAUAUUUCCAGGUGGGGUUGGUGGCCAGCUGGGAUUUGGCGGGAAGCCCCCCAAGACCUACGGAGGAGCCCUGGGGGCCCUGGGCUUUAGAGGUGGAAUUGGCUGUGCACAAGGGAAAUACUGCGGGAGGAAGCGGAAGUAACCGCCCACCGUCACCGAUGACCUCAUGAACUUUGGUGCUACUGCAUGGUCCAGAAUGUAAAUCCCCACCAAGCUGAGACCCCCCUGGCCCCACGCUCCCGGCAGGGACCCCACGGCAGCGUCAGGGGCCGCCCCCCCACCUCGGGAACCCCC